AUCAAAGACACUUUGGUAACGUAGGCUACAGCGAAUGCUCUAGUUUUGGUUGAUAAAGAGUGAUACCUGCAUAUGAGUUGAGAAGUCCCCUCUUUAAAAAUUGAAGUUUGAGUUGUUAUAUUUGUUUUGAUUUUUGGAAAAANAGAGGUGCAAUAUUUUGUUUACGUGGUAAUUGGCUGGUUCAAAUAUUCAAAUGCACUUGUCUGAUCAGUCUGAGAUUACUUUAGGUUACUUUGAAUUAAUUGCCAGGUUGACGAUGUGAUUAACCUGAACUCUUGCUGCUCAUUGUCAGAUUUCCCAAUUUGGAUUUUAAUUUUUAAGAAUAUAUGCAUCUAUCCUUUUAGUUUAUUAUAUUCCCUUCUGUAGUCCAAACUUUCUCCCCCCCUCUUUAAUUCUUCUAGAGAUAUGUUGGAUAUAGCAUACAAUGAUUAUUGAAUAUACGUCUUUUCUAGUUCCAUUACUUGUAUUCAUCUCUGUUUUUAUUUUUUUCAUUUAUAUUUGGGAAGUAAAUGGUUGAUCCGUGGGAGUGUUAUACUCUUGCUAUAUUAAUUAUUUUUUGGGUUUUCAGUCCAUCUUUCCUGUUCCAGCUGNUUUAUAUAUGUAAGUUGGUUGAUGUAGCCCAUUUAAAAAACGAGCAGUGGAAGCUCGUCCAAAUAAGGUAAUGAAAGCUCAAGCCAUAAGUUAUUUAAAAGCCUAACAAUUUAAGAAAUUAAAUUUAAGUAAAUUUGAUUACAAAGAUUUAAUUAACAAUUGGGUUGUCACAAUGGUCAUUUACAUGAUAUUUCACAUAGGCAAUUCAGUUUCGAAUUGCCAUGUAGAUAUUUUUAUAAAAUAUUUUUCAGUUAAAAACUCCUCAUUUUGCAUAUCAAGAACAAUUAUAUCACGUUAAUUGGAUGAAAUAAUUUUUUUAUUAGUGGGCAUUCAUAGAGAUAGGUUACAAAUCAUAUGAAUAGUUCAUUUUCCACUAUUUUUCAUUAUGUAAAUGUUUUAUAAAUUUUUUUAUAAGAAAUAUUUUUAUGGUUUAAACCUUUUUAAAUUUUUAGUUAAAGACUCAAUAUAACAAGGUUGAUGAUAAUAAAACUCACCCAUUUAGUUUUUCACUAAAAAUUGAGGUUAUAAAAAGAGGAUGUUACUUUUUUAUUAUAUCUCUUAUCAAAUUCGAAUUUACUCUUAUUUUCUCUCAAAAAUAUCUUUUAUAUUAAGUUAAGUUUAAUGGAAUAGCAAGGAUGUGAAGAAGAAAUGUUUUUACACAUUUUUAACAUUUAUACUUUAAGAAAAAUAAAGGUGGGUAUAGAUGGAAGUGAUUAUUUCAUUUUCAAGUUAUAAUUUUUCGUUGAAAGUACGAAAGAAUUUGGUACCUUUGGGUAUGAUACUUCGGCACUAAUAUAGUUUAAAUGAUCAUCCUUUGGCCCUACGUGUUAUGAUAAAAUUGGAUUUUGUCGAAAAUCCAUCUAUGUGCGAUGACAUGAAUCUAUAAUUUGAAUUUUCUAAUUUAAUAUCAAAAUGUAUCGAUGAUAUCUAUUGAGUUUCAAACUCAAGGGUGUUCCCUCCCUACAUGUUGAUUUGAUUUGCUUAGAGAGUGGAUGAUGGUAGAUGAAGAUGCAACAUGCUAUGGAGAAGUAAGUGACUUAAUAUUUUUAUUCGAUUAUGAAAUGUUUACGUGUUUUUUUUUUAAAUAAAUAGAUUUCUAUGAAAAUCUUUUGUGGCACUAUUUUCAGAAAUUUUUUAUGAAUUAGAUAUGUUCAAAAGUAAUUAUGUUUUAUAGAAAUUAACAUACAAGUAACAUUUCACCACAAAAACGUGAGCGAUAAGAUUUAUUAUUGCUUUUUUUUUUUUAAUUUCAACUUCUGUCAUUGAUUUCAAAAAUUCGUAACUCAAUCAUUACUUGAAAAUUUUGGACCAAACUAGCGGGGUUUGGUAACGUAAUGGGUUAGCUACUGAAUAACUUGAAAUCUUGUCCAUCCGAUGUCUAUAGAAUUUUAUAUGUUAUUUUAAGUAAAUUGUACUGGUUUAUCCCAUUGUAUAAGAAGUUUCCUACUUUCUCUUAAAAUUUCGUGAAGUUUCGAGAUUGAUAACUAUGUAAACGAAUUUAUUUUGACACUUGCCAUGUGAAAUAGAAAAAUAGAUCAUCUUAGUUUUAUUUACUGUUUAAAGAUGUGCAUUUAUGAAAAAAUUUAUUUAAAACCUUUUAUUUAAUUGGUAAACACAUGCAUGCAAUUGUCAAUGUAAUAAAAUAGGUAAUAUGCAUGGAGAAAAAUGUAUUGUUUAAAAGAAAAACAUAAUUAUUAAGUAAAUUCUUAAAUUAAAUCAUUAUGUUUUCCGCCAAUUACUAAGCCUGGUGAUAAGGUACAAUUAUUUUAGUUACGUUUCGGUCCAUUCGGGCGGGAUCAUUACAAAAGUCAGGGCAGAUGAAGGUGAAAUUGUUGGUAAGGACAACAAUGAAAAUAUGAUUGUAUGGAGAGUCAAUGAUGAAUCGAAGAAGUGUAACCAGUAUCUAAAAUGCAGAAUUGCAAACUCCAUUUUCAAUCCACCAUGAAGGGUCUAAAAGUUACAAGAGUUGAGCUAAGGAUUUUAAACAAGCACUUGUUGGAAGGCAACACAACACUUCUAUCCAUUUUAUUUAUUUUGCUUUUUAUAUUUAGAAUAGUUUUUUAUGAUAAUUUAGAUUAAUCUUUAUUCGAUUUUAGGGACUCAUUAUCUACACCUCACUUUCUCUUAGUUCCUCGAUAUGUUAGUUGGUUUAUUAGAUACUUGAGUUAAGUAAUACUUGUUCCAGAUAUUUGGUCUUUAAUAUUUUAUCUAAUGACAUCGUGCAGGAACAUGAUGUCCUAGAAGAUCUAAACUGACAUUGAUUAAGGAGACAACGAGAGUACUAGGAUAAGCUUGCCAUUGAAUUUCACGCCAUAUGAUGUAAGUAUUUUUUUCAUUUUCUUUUCCAUCCCUUUAUAUGUGGACUUAGAAUUCUAGAAAUUGAAGACAAUAUCUAAUUUAAGUUUGAGGAUGAAAAACAUGAGUUUUCUUUUGUUGUAUGUUUUAUUGCUUUAAAUAAAUUUUGAAAAGUUCCAAAAACAUUUUCUUUAUACGUGCUUGCAUGAGUUAGUUGAUCUAGUUGACAAUGAGGAAUAUAUCGAAUUAUGAAUUGAUCUAUGAAUUGUGAAUAUGUUGCAUGCUUAGGUCAAUUUUUGCUUUUUUAUGUGAAGUUUGAUAUAUAUUGAGUACAUAAAUUAGGUUAAGCAUUGUGUAGGAGUGAGUUGAUUUUAUAAUUGGAUAAGUUAAAACAAUGGACCAUAGAUGUUGAACCCAAAAUCACUAAAUUUUACAUUUUUAGAUGAAAUUUAGAAUAGCUUGGGGAUUUCACUGUUGUAAGAAGAUUUUGAGAUAAAUGGGAAUUUCAUAUGUGAAAUUAAAAAUCUUAUGUGGAUUGUUUAAGGUUAAUAGGAUGAAAUUGGGUGAAAAUCUCAAGUGAGAGGCCGGUUUACUUGAGCAGAUGUUUAAUGAGGGACAUUGCACUAAUAAAAAAAAAACAUUUUAUUUGAAAAUUUCUCUUCAUAGCCUUCAUGGCUCGAGAUAUUAAACCUGUAAAGGUGUUAAAACCUAUAGCUUAAAGUUAACUGACUUGGGAGUCAUUGACCUAAAACUUUUUACAUGAGUCAUUUCAAAAGGUUAAGGAAGAAAAUGCUGCAAAUGAAAAAUUGAGAAAAAAAAAUAGAAAAAGUAGGUGCAUGAAAUAGAAAAUGCACCAAAUACUUUGGUUAAAUCUCAAAUACUUGUUUAAGAAACAUUGAUUUUUGAUAAGAUAUUAUUAGCCAAGUUGAGUUCUGGAUAUUGAAGCAAUCAAAUUAUAGAGAUUCUUUAUUUAUUGACAUAUCGACUUGCAAUUAAUGAGAUUUAUUUAAACUAGAUAUAUGAGGAUAGAAUAAAAAUUCAACAAUAGAUCACACACUUGAAAAGAACGAAAAGAAUAAGUUAGGGAUAUGUAAAACUUACGAGUGAUGAAAAAUAUAUUUGACCAUUGAGGGUUGAGAAUUGAAACAACAUACAAAUUCAUAAUGCUAUACUUACUUCUUCACAUACAUAUGAUUUUACAUCGAAAAAGUAGAUUUUAAUUUUUGUAUUGUGAUUUUGAAGUUGUGUAUAGAUUUGAUAUUAUGGCACUAGAUAUUAGAACGCGCCAAAAUCAACACAUGGGGAAUACAUAUUAGGAAUAAUAUCUAUAGCAUAUGCAAUCAUGUGUGAUAAAUUCCAUGAAUCAAUACAUAUUUUUCAUAUGAAUUCGGACUGAGAAUAGGAUUGGGUCGUUUUAAAAUAUAGGUUUAAUAUAUAUUGAAAAAUAAUAUUGAAUAAAAGUGGAUUAUCGAUUGUUUUUAAUGCAUGAAUUUAUUAGAUUACGAAUUAAGAAUUGAAUUAAAUGGCAACAGAGGGAUUCAAGAUUCCAAUACAAAUAUUUACAUAUUAGAUAAAUAUUUUAUUUACUUUCUUCGUAUAGGAUUAGUAUAUAAAACACACCAAACAUCUCUUUCGAUAUUACAUGACUUAGAAUUUGAUAAAAGCUAUUGAAUUAGAUAUUGGGUCUUAUUUCUCGUGGGAACGAUAAAUUCGAAACUUAAUUAUUUCAAUUACUUGUUGAUGCUACCAAAAAUCGUACCUGAUGAUUUUCCGAGCUUGAUGAUUCUGGUUGAUCACGAUCGUGGUCUUCCGGUACCUGAAACAAAGGCAACGAGGUGUGUUCUCGUCGCCCCUCCGAUGUUUAAGUCAGAAAGGGAAAUAUAUGCGUGAGGCUAUGUGCUGAAGAACAAUGAAAAAACGUACCUGAAUAAUGGCCCAAGGUUCUGCUUUUAUAGGGGUAGGUAGUGUACUCCUAGUAGGAUCGUGUUGGUUGGAUGUUUUUAUCCAAGGGAAUUUCUAUUUAUAAAGAGUGUCCUACUUGUAAUGGAAUUGUUUGACAAGCGGUAUCAGGGUUGAUGUAAAAUCCUUGGGUGUUUAGGUUUGUUUGUUAGGUACCCAAGUCUUAGGAGGCAUGUAGGUGGCGUAUGUCUCGAGGACUAUUCUCGAGGACUUGAGAGAAUGUAAAUAUGUCCUCGAGGUAUCUCGAGGACUACGAUACCUUGAGGACUUAGGGAGACCCGAGGACCAUAGCAGAGAAAUGAGAUGGGGUAUACAUGGAGUCCUCGGGAUAAACUCCUCGGGGUAUAUCAAUAUUGUCAUAGUCACUGGCCCCCGUGCACUCGUCCUAGAGAUCGAGCUCUUAGGAUGGGGUGCACAUGGGUUAUGUCAUUUCUUGAACCUUCGUCGAGAAGUGAUGGCUGAUGAUAUAGGUCGAGAUAUGACCGUUGCAGAGAGUGGCUUGGAUUUGUGACACGUGUCUUCGUGGACAGUCGUAGAUAGCGACCUUGGGCCUCCCAUAGUUUUCACCUAUAAAUAUUGUUGUUCUCACCUUUAUUUUUCACUUUUACCCACUAUAAAUCAGAGUUCUGCGAGGUCGUGCUCGAGAAAAAUACUUUGGGAACUUCUCAAGUCGUCGGGAACUCCAGGUAAGGCUCGAGACUUUAAGUUAUUCAUAAGCUAGGUCUUAAGUUUGCUAAGUGAUGUCGAGUAGUGAGGGUCGAGAAUCUUCUAGUAGUUCUAGUAGUAGUGAGGACGUAGGGACCUCGAUAAUACCGACGGCUAUUCCCCUAGAGGCUACUACCGAGGCCCAGGUUAAUAUGAUUUUUGAGUAUCCCGACGAACCCUGUAGGCUUAAAGAGCACUCGGUCAUAGCUGCAGCUAGGGAAUAUGGUAUAAUGCCUAAUUGCGAUGUUAGAUUUCCUGACCCCGAGGAUAGGAUUGUUCGAGCACGACGAGGGGAGUUUGUUAUUUUUGGGGAGACCCUUAAGGCUGGCUUUAGGUGGCCCCUUCACCCCUUCUUUAUUGCUCUAUUAGUCGAGCACUCCAUGUGCCCAGGGCAGUUAGUGCCCAACGUCUGGAGAAUGCUCGUUUAUUUUUUUAUAGCAUGUAGAUACUUAGGUAUCGAGCCCAACAUUGGCCUCAGCAAAUUAGUGUUCGAGCUUAAGAAGCAUCCUCGAUACACUUGUUUUGGCUAUCUCUCGACGAUUGGGGAUUUUAAAGUCCCGAGGAUGGCGAGCUCUUUGAAGGGGUGGAGGGAGGGGUGGUUUUAUGUUAUAGCCCCAGAACCCGAUCUUCCUUUCUGGCCUCAUUGGGGAAUCCCCGACGCUGAGAAGUUCUAUGAGGGCCAGGUGUAUCCGGAUGUUUUGGAAGAGCAUAGGAGGAUGCUGGUCGGGCUCAGCCCCCUUUUCUUGACGAUGAAGGAGAUUGGGGAAGAGGUUAUAGACCUGGCAGAUAUUAGAGCCGUCGAGGGUAGGGAUGUUCCUUUAUUAUUAUUUUUUGAAAAAUACCCUGACCUUGUGCUCGUUCUAAAAUGUUUGUAAAUUAUUGUAGGUAUGUCUUUUGAUUCUCGGGCUCUUCGAAACUUUGUCAGCACAAGGGCAAACGCUCAUCCACAGGGGCAACCCCCGAGGAAGAAAAGCAAGAAGAGGCCUCGAGGGACUCCUGAGGGUGCGAGGGGGCCUGGAGAAACUUCUCGAGCACAUCCACAAGUCUCGACCCCUCUGCAACCAAACCUUAGAUCUCCCACUCCUCGGGUUGUCACUCCUCGGCCUCCUUCUGAAGUGGUUAACCUUGACGAUGACCCGUCUCUCACCGGGGACUUUGAGACUUGCCAUCUCGCUCCUGAGCUCGUAAAUAAAUACAAGGAGGAGGUCAAGCUCGAGGAUGGGAUGAAGGUCCUCGAGGGUCUUACAGUGAAGGUAAUCUUCGGGCUUUCGACUUUAAUCUCAAGUUUUUUUUUUGUCAAGAUUAAUACUUGUCAUUUUCUUCAUUUUUUCCAGAUGUUGAGUAUAGCUCGAGGACUUUCUCUGCAAAGGCUCGAGGAGGCCAAGAGGGUAGCUGGGGUCGAGACGUCCAUGGCCUCUAAGGACAGCAGGAUUCAAGACCUCGAGGCACAGGUCGAGGUUUUAUUGAAGGAGCGUGAUGACGCGAGGAGGGAGGCUGCAAAGGCCAGGGAUGACCUGGUUGUAGCAAAGGAUAAGGUCAAGGGCGCGAGGCUCGAGCUCAUCCAGAAGACAGAGGAUUUUGGGCGCGAGCUCGCGACUGUCAGUGAGAGGGCCUGGGAGGAGUUUAAAACCUCCGAGGACUGCAACAAGAUAAAAGGGGAGUACGCGUCGGGGGCGUACUUCCAUGCUCUGAAAGAAGCCCGGGCCUUCCUCCGUCAGAAGUUGCCCGACGUCACUCCGGACAACCUGAAGACAUUGCCUUCCAUUGCUAAUACAUUGGAGCUCUCAGGUUCGGAAGAUGGAGGAGGAUCGGGUGGAGAUGAUGAGGAUGGUCUUGAGGACGACGUUGAGAUCGACAUCAGCAACCUCGACCCUCCUCUUGGCCACAUUGGAUGACUUCCCCGCCCCGAUCUUUUGUAAUUUUUGUUUAACUUUGUCCAUGUAAAUUGAUCGAAGACUAUGUAUGUUCUAAUGUUAAUUUAUUCGAACUAUUUAUCUCGACCCCUUGGACUCCAUACAUUCGAGCAAACAAAUUGGAAACUAACUGCUUAUGCGACAUUGAAGUGUUUACUCGAGGAUUCCACAACUCGAGCGUAUUUAAGGGAUUAAAAAGUGAGUGACAUUCUCGAGGACUAUAAUCCUCGAACACAACUAAUCUCAAAAAAUGAUAAUGUGACAUUUUCGAGCACAACUCAUCCUAAAAAAUGAUAAUGCGACAUUCUCGAGGACCUCUAAGCCUCGAGCACAACUAAACUUAUAAAGUUGGGUUGUGCUUUCCUCGAGGACUGUAAACCUCGAGCACAAACUAACUAAAAAGGCUAUAAUGUGAAAUUCUCGAGGACUAUAAACCUCGAGCACAACUAACUUAAAAAGCUAUAAUGUGAAAUUCUCGAGGACUAUAAACCUAUAAUGUGAAAUUCUCGAGGACUAUAAACAUCGAGCGCAACUAACUUAAAAAGCUAUAAUGUGAAAUUCUCGAGGCCUAUAAACCUCGAGCACAACUAACUUAAAAAGUUGGGUUGUGAUAUUCUCGGGAGUGUCAAAAAUGAUGUGGGGCUUUUGUAUGUCCCUGGGUGAUACUAUAACGGUUUACGCUUGAGUAUAUGAUCAAUGCUUUUUGUGCUUGGCUGGGGCAAGGCUUUCUUAAGUGCUUGCUUGGGGCAAGGCUUUUUUGAGUGCUUGCUCGGGGCAAGGCUUUUUGUGCUUGCUCGGGGCAAGGAUUUUUUGAGUGCUUGCUCGGGGCAAGGCUUUUUGUGCUUGCGCGGGGCAAGGCUUUUUUGUGAGCUUGCGUGGGGCAAGGCUUUGGGGCUUGCUCGGGGCAAGGCUUUUGUGAUUCCUGGGUGCAAAGUUUUACUAAAGGGCUGUUAUAACUGAAGCUUGAAUUUACUAAUUUUUCGGACUGGACUUGGAUUUAUAUUGUAUCCAAACUGCCUACGUACCCAAACGGGAUCAAGCCGAACGUAGUUCAUUAUGAGAGAAAACAAAAAACAUGAUUGGGCACGCAAGCCCGCUAAACUAGAGAAAUAAAAUACAAGGGCGCGCCGGCCCGAGGAACCAAAAAUAAUAUUCAGAAGAAAAAAUGCAGGAAUAAAAAGAAAAUCUCCUAGAUGUCAUCGAGAAUGUUACUUGUAGUAUAAUUUCAGAUUAUCAGCGUUCCAGGGCCUUGGAAGAGGUCUACCCGAAGUGUCUUUUACACUGUAUGCUCCCUUGCGAACCUGUCGUAUGACCUCAAAGGGUCCUUCCCAGAUGGGCCCGAGCUUCCCAGGGGGGUGACCUGCAGCUUCGGCCCUUCUCAGGACCAAGUCGCCUCCUCUGAACCUCCGAGUCUUGACUUUGCUAUUAAAAUGUUUUGCUGUCUUAGUUUGGUAAGAGGCCACCUUUAUAGCGGCUUGCUCCCGCACUUCUUCCAAGAGAUCAAGAUGUUCAGUUGUAUGCUCCGAGGUUUCUGGCACGAGCCUCCUAUGGCUCGGGAGUCUAAUUUCUACCGGGACCAUUGCUUCAAUGCCAUAGGCUAACAUAAAGGGGGUUUCUCCUGUGGUUGUCCUAUGAGUUGUUCUAUACGUCCAAAGUAUAGAAGGCAGCUCGUCGGACCAAGAUCCCCUAGCAUUGCCUAUUCUUGUUCGGAGGUCUUGUAAUAUAAUUCGAUUUGUUACCUCGGCCAGACCAUUUCUCUGAGGAUGUGAAACUGAUGUCAGACGGUGAUCAAUCCCAAAGUUUGACCAAAAGUCCCUAAACUGUUGAUUGUCAAAUUGCCUGCCAUUGUCGGUGAUGAGGACCUUUGGUAUCCCAAACCUGUAAAUGAUAGAUCUCCAAGUGAAGGCGCUUAGCUUGGGCUCCGAUAUUGUGGCGAGAGGUUCGGCCUCUACCCAUUUUGUGAAGUACUCUAUUGCUACAGCAAUGAACUUUAAUUGACCUCUAGCCACAGGAAAGGGACCGAGGAUAUCGACUUCCCAUUGUUCAAACGGGGCCGAACAGUUAAUGUUGGUUAGGUCUUCGGCUGGUGAGUGGAUAACAUUACCAAACCUCUGGCACCUAUCACAUCUUUUAACAUAUUCUGAGGCGUCUUUUUUCAUAGUUGGCCAAUAGUACCCAUAUCGUACGAGUUUAAAGGCCAAGGCCCUGGCUCCUUGAUGAUUCCCGCACACACCUUCAUGAACUUCAGCAAGGGCCUGGGAUGACUCAGAUGGUCUCAGGCACCUUAGGUAUGGAAGAGUAAUACUUCUGCGGAAGAGGACACCGCUUAUCAUGCAGUACCUAGGAGCUCGAGUUCUGAUGCUUCUAGCCAACCUGGCAUCGCUUGGUAGAUUUCCACUUGUGAGGAAUUCGAUGAUUGGGUCCAUCCAGGAUGGUUCGUUGUCAAUGUCCAUGAUGUCGAGGAUUUGACUGAUGGUGGCUUCUGUGAUGAUUUUAAUGUGAACUGUUCUGUCAAGGCCGUCUACCCCCAUGAACACAAGCCUGGAUAAUGCAUCGGCUUUUCCGUUGUCCUUUCGAGCAAUCUUUGCAAUUUCACAACUCUUGAAUUUUCGUUGAAGAUCCUGAACCCUCAUACAGUACAAACUCAUUUUCUCGUCUUUCCUUUCAAAUGAACCUUCAAUUUGUCCGACCACCAGUUGUGAGUCGCUGAAUAUCUUUAUGAACUCUAGCUCAAGGCAAAGGGCUAGCUUAAGAGCAAUAACGACAGCCUCAUACUCGGCCUCGUUGUUGGUUGCUUCAAACUCGAACCUUAGAGCGCAUUGGAUUUCUGUUUGUUUGUCAGGGCUGAUGAUGAUGACCCCUGCGCCCGAGCCCGAGGAGUUGGAUGCUCCAUCCACAAAAAUUUGCCAAGUGUCCAAAUUAGUGCUCAUGCUCGAGCUAUCCCCUGUCUUCCGAGGCCUAGGGGUUAGUUCUGCAAUGAAGUCGGCCAGAGCUUGGGCUUUGAUAGAUGGGCGUGGUUUGAAUUCUAUGUCAAAUUCUCCAAGCUCGAUUGCCCAUUUCAUUAGUCUUCCCGAUACGUCCGGCUUCUGAAGUAUAUGCCUAAGUGGUUGAUUAGUGAGCACCACAAUGGGGUGAGACUGAAAAUACUGCCGGAGUUUCCGUGCUGCUAUAACCAAGGCAAGGGCAAGUUGUUCCGCCAAAGUAUACCUUGUUUCCGCAUCCAGUAGGACCUUGCUUACAUAGUAGAUAGGUUGCUGGAUUUUGUUAACCUCUUUCACCAAGACCCCGCUGACAGCGUUUUGAGAUACGGCCAAGUACAAAAAUAAGGUAUCACCAGGCUCAGGCCUAGUGAGAAUAGGAGGAGAUGCCAAUGUCUGCUUGAGCUCCUGAAAAGCUUUCUCACAGUCUUUACUCCAAUCAAAGCCUUGGUUUCCUCUGAGGACUUUGAAGAAGGGAUAACACCUGUCUGAUGCUCGGGACAUGAACCUGUUCAAGGCUGCUAUCCUGCCAGUCAACCUCUAUACCUCUUUCUUGUUCCUUAGUGAUUCCAUAGACGCCAAGGCUUGUAUUUUGUCAGGGUUGGCCUCUAUCCCCCGGUGAGUGAUCAUAAAGCCCAAGAACUUGCCCGAGGCCACGCCGAAUGCACACUUUGCGGGGUUCAACUUCAUUCCGUACUUUCGCAAGGUGUCGAAAACCUCUUCAAGAUCUGAAAUAUGCUGGUCCACCUGUUUGCUCUUGACCACCAUGUCAUCAACGUACGCCUCCACUUUCCUUCCAAUCAAGUUAGCAAAGACUUUGUUGAUGAGUCUUUGGUAUGUUGCCCCUGCAUUCUUCAAACCGAAAGGCAUGACCUUAUAAUAGUAUAUGGCGGAAUCGGCCAUGAAUGAUGUCUUUUCUUGAUCUUCCUCGGCCAUGAGGAUUUGAUGAUAACCAGAAAAUGCAUCCAAGAAGCUGUACAACUUAUGUCCGGACGUGCUAUCCACCAAGUUGUCAAUCCGUGGUAGGGGAUAACUAUCCUUUGAACAUGCUUUGUUAAGAUCUGUGAAGUCAAUGCAGACCCUCCACUUACCAUUGGCCUUCUUUACUAAAACAACAUUGGCAAGCCAAUCGGGAUAUUGGACCUCCCGAAUGAACUGAGCACUGACGAGUUUGUUAAUUUCUUCGCGAAUGACCUCCCGACGUUCUGGGGCAAACUGUCUUUUCCUCUGCUUUACUGGGCUAAUGUUAAGCCUAUGGACUGCAGUUUUAGGGUCUAUCACUGACAUAUCCUCAACCUUCCAGGCAAAAACGUCAAUGUUGCGAGAUAAGCAACCAACAAGUUUUGUCUUUAGGGUGACGUCAAGAUCCCGACCAAUAGUCACCUUCUUAUCAUGCUCGAGCUCAAUUUCCAUCAAUUCUUCGACAGGGGCAAGUCUGACUUGUUGCCCGUCCUCGGGAUCCAUCCUCGAGAUUUGCAUGACGUCGUUAUUUAUUUCCCGAACGCUGGCAACAUAGCAUUGUCUGGUCUCCACGGACGACCCCAACGCCAUUACUUGUUGGAAACUUCAUGGCCAGGUGGAAGGUAGACACAAUGGCUUUAAUCUUGUUCAGGAGCGGUCUUCCCAGAAUAGCGUUGUAGGCCAUUGAGACACGUACCACUUGGAAAGAUGUCAUCUCCGUAACCUGUUUCUGGCCAGAACCCAAAGUUAGAGGAAGCUCGACGACACCCUCUGGAGUGAUGACUCCUUCCCCAAACCCCUGGAGAGGAGUUUUAACCGCUUUGAGCUGCUGAGAUGAGAUUCCCAUUUUGGAAAAAACUUCUUGUGAAAGUGUAUUGGCCGCACUCCCGUUGUCAACCAAGAUCCUCUUUACUUCAAAAUUGGCCACAAUCGCUAAGAUUACCAAGGCGUCAUCAUGUGGAAGUGAUACGCCUUCUAAGUCUCCGGUCCCAAAAGUAAUAUCCUCCAGCUUUCCAUGAGGCAUCCCAGAGGCCAAGGCAUAUUGUCGGGCAUAUUGUUUUCUUCCACUGUUGGAGUUUGGCAAUACCUCCAAUGAUGAUAUUGAUGGUUCCAGCAGUGGGUUGACCAUCCCUUUUUGCCUCAGGGUCUUUUUCCCUGCCACGAUCAUUCCUCGGGCGUUUGUUGUUACCGACAUAGGAGCUCAGGAGUCCUCUUUUAAUAAGGGCUUCAAUCUCCCGUUGCAGGGCCUUACAGUUCUCCGUGGUAUGCCCAUGAUCCCGAUGGAACUCACAGUACUUGUUCAUGUCCCUGGAUUCGGGUGGUGACCUCAUUCUGACAGGCCAUUUCAGUUCCUUCAUAUCCUUGAUCUCCAUUAAUAUAUUGGUCUUUGACGUAUUUAAACGCGUGAACGGCGUCGGGGGAACCUCCUGUCUCUGUUUUUUCCAAUGUUGUUCUUUACGGGGGUUCUGGUCAUGCUGUCUUUUAUGCUCGACUCUAUCAUGGGAUGGUCCAACCUUUCUCGGGUUCAGUGUUUCCUCCAUAUUUAUGUACUUUUCGGCUCGGGUAAGAAGCUCGGUGACUGUCUUUGGUGGAGUUUGGAUAAAGACAUCUUGAAAGCCUCGCACUUUAUGGCAUAUGUGAGGGCAGAAACUGCUGCAGUUAUGUGUAGGUCGGGAAUCUGAAGUCUUUCCUUGUUGAACCUGGUCAUGAAGCCACGUAGGGUCUCAUUUGCCCUUGUCUAAGUUGCAUGAGGGAAGCCGCUGUCUUCCUGAUGCGCUUGCUGCUUGCGAAGAAAGCGGAGAACUUGUCCGCCAAAUCUGAGAAUGAGGCUAUGGAGUUGGACUCUAAGGUUGAGAACCAAUCCCUAGCAGCAUUCGUCAAAGUUUGCGGGAAGGCCUUGCACAUCACCUGAUCUGGUGCAACCUGUAGAUUCAUGACGUCCGUGUAUAUGUUCAGAUGAUUGAUUGGAUCAGUGGUCCCAUCAUAUUCUUUGAUCCUAGGAUACUUAAAUCUGUCUGGCAAAGGAAAUGUUAAUAUCUCGGGAGUAAAUGGAGUGUUGGGACUGAAUCUUGUCGUCCCUUUGUUGCCCUGAAGUAGGCCUGCUGUAAUUCCUUCUUGAAUAAUCCUAGCGAGUUCCCCGGACUCCAUGGUCACUGAUCUCGAGGCCGAGGUCACAUGUGGUAUACCCGAGGCCCCUGUUCCGCCAUUGUCAGGGACAUGAGCUCGAGCAUUAGCCAUAAAACCCCCCUGGGGUGCCGGUGUGGGUGACGGAUGCGAAUUUCUUUGGCUUAGCAGCUGAGUCAGUGUGACGACUUGUUGUCUGAGUUCUUCAAAGGCUCCCGCAGUGACGACUGCCGGCUGGGGCUCUAGCACUUCUGAUGAUUCCUCUUGAGGAACAGGGAUAUCCUCAGGAGGGGGUUGGUUUGGAGCGGAUGAACUUGCUGGUGGAAGACCUGAACGUGUGUUUACCAUGGCUUUUGGUAGCGUUUCCCACAGACGGCGCCAAUGAUGCUACCAAAAAUCGUACCUGAUGAUUUUUCGAGCUUGAUGAUUCUGGUUGAUCACGAUCGUGGUCUUCCGGUACCUGAAACAAAGGCAACGAGUGUGUUUUCGUCGCCCCUCCCAUGCUUAAGUCAGAAAGGGAAAUAUAUGCGUGAGGCUAUGUGCUGAAGAACAAUGAAAAAACGUGCCUGAAUAAUGGCCCAAGGUUCUGCUUUUAUAGGCGUAGGCAGUGUACUCCUAGUAGGAUCGUGUUGGUUGGAUGUUUUUAUCCAAGGGAAUUUCUAUUUAUAAAGAGUGUCCUACUUGUAAUGGAAUUGUUUGACAAGCGGUAUCAGGGUUGAUGUAGAAUCCUUGGAUGUUUAGGUUUGUUUGUUAGGUACCCAGGUCUUAGGAGGCAUGUAGGUGGCGUAUGUCUCGAGAACUAUUCUCGAGGACUUGAGAGAAUGUAAAUAUGUUCUCGAGGUAUCUCAAGGACUACGAUACCUCAAGGACUUAGGGAGACCCGAGGACCAUAGCAGAGAAAUGAGAUGGGGUAUACAUGGAGUUCUCGGGAUAAACUCCUCGGGGUAUAUCAAUAUUGGCAUAGUCACUUGUCAACUACCCCGUAUGUUUGUGGAUUUUGUCGGAACAAAAUAUAUCAUUAAAAUUAAUUUUUAACUUUGAUUUAAAUUAAAAUUAAAAUUUUAAUUCCUACAAAUCGCGACUAUAUAUUUUUAUUCUAUUAAUCAUUUCAAUUUAAUAAGUCAUUGUUUGAUGAUCAUUAUUUGAAAAGAAAAUGUUUAAAUAGUAAUUUUUAGGAGAGCGUAUUGUUAAAAGUAAAAAGUAGUUUUGAGUUUAUAAGCAUAAUAUUUUAUUAUGUAAGUUAAAAAUUAGUACCAAGGAAAAAUAAGUUUCAAAUAAUAUUCUCAAACAGCGUUAAAUAGUAAUUCCCCAUUCCCUCGCCAGAGACCCAUAACAUUCUCUGUACCGAACAUUCCGAAAUUCCCUCUGUUUUUCGCACCUGUCGUCCUCUUUUACCGCCAUAACACGGCUAGAGAAAACUCAAAUUUGCAAAGGCUUCUUCAAGAAAGUGCGAUUUGCUGCAAAAUAGCUCCAGACUUCAGUACAAUCUUACAAAAUCAGUUCAUUUCAGUUGUUACACUGUGUAACUUUCACACGAUUUCGAUUUAUUCUACGUGAUACUGCUGAUUUUUACGCGUUCGCGUUUGUAGUAGUUCUCUUAGUAAUCUAGCCGUUUCAAUUUUUUUGCUGCUGUUAUUGGGGUUGAUUCUGUGCGGUUUUUGACCCUUUAUUUUCUUUAUUGGCGUAUAUUAUGUGGUGAUUGAUGCUUAAGUAUAUAAUAUUCUUUAUCUACAUAGCAUAUUACAUGGUUAUUGAUGCUUAAGGAAAAUAGGAAAUGAUUGUCCCUAAUUUAGCUUCACGUAUCUGUACUUCCCAAUUAAAUCUGUAAUUUGAGUUGCAAUGAGCAGGCGUUUGUGAGUUCAUUGAAUUAAAAUUGUAGAGCAGGUUCCACGUUAAUUUAGUACAUGCAUGACUAAUUCUACUAGUAUAAGUACUGUUAAUUUCCCCCUUUCUUGGUGCUGUUUUAAAAUUGUUUGCCAGAUGCUCAUCAUAUGUUAACUAGUGUUUUUUCCUGCUGGGUAUUAAUAGUAAUAAGCACUGGACUGUAAAAGUUAAUGAACUAAUUCGAAACAAAUUUGGGCCUUCUGAGAUCAAAUGCCCAAAUUCAAUCCAUGGGAUUUUAGUGGUCAUUGCACUUCACUCAGAUGGUUUGUGUUGUGAUGCUACCAAAAAUUCGCACCCUGGAAUAUCCCUGAGCUUGACGGCGAGAGAUGCACACAAACAGAAUCUCCAGUACCUGAAACAAAGGCGUUGAGGUGUGUCUUGUUGCCUCUCCGAUGCUUAAGUUAGAGCGUGAGGCUACAAACUAAAAAUUAUGUAAAAACAUGCCUUAAUGAUGAAUUGAGAUCAUGUAUUUAUAGUGUUGGGUAGCCUACUACUAGUAGGUUUAGGUCAUUCGAAUCUUUAAGAAUUUUACCACGCUCAAGAGUUGUAACUUGAUAGGUAUCGUGCAAUUGAUGUUUGGAUAAAGAUGAAACUCCGGUGGUAGAAUCCCACCAAGAUGAGAUGAAAUAGGUAUAUUAGGACUUAAUCUUAUCAGAAUUGAAUAAGCCUUAUCUUGUAGGAGAGUCCUGAUGAGUUAGGUGUUGUUAGAAGUAAGGUCAAGGCAUAAACUCAAGGAGACCUCCAGCCAAAGGGCAGUGUUCUAGCCCGAGGAUCCUAGAGAUGCUAUCACGAAAUGGGCAAACUUCAUCCUCAGGAUCGAAUGGUCGGGUCGUGAUGAUAUUUGUCUAUAUGAGUUUGCAUUUUACUGAUUACACCUGCUGAAGCAUAUACUUGCCAAUUUUACAAAAAAAAAAAAAAAAAAAAAAAAAAAAAAGAGAAAAAAAAAGAAAAAGAAAAUGCUGAUAACUACCUUUAUAGUAUUUUGCAGAGUUUUUAAACUAACAAGAGAUACUGAGGACACAUUAGAACUAGCAUCCCCUUAAAAUGUUAAUCAUCCAUAGUUUUUCAAAAAUAUUCCUCUGUUGAAAAUUAACAAAGUAAACACCCACUUUGAUAGCUCUUGCAAUGAUUAUAUUGAAGGCCACCUGUUCUGAAAGACGGGGCAAAGUUAUAACUAUGUCCGACUUGCUUUGAAUUUUUCUCUCUUCGUCAUUCUCUUUUAGUUGCCAUUUCAUGUCAUCUUUUCAACUAGUUAAACCAUUUAGGUUCUCUGUUGAAUUUUUAAAGGAAUGACUUGAAGUAUGAUAUUUUAUUUGAUUGUAUAGUUAUUAGCAGUGGGAAAUUAGAUGGAUUGGGUGUAAAUAGAUUUUUGAUGAAAAUUUAUUCAUCCAAUAACCAAUGGACCUUAAUAGAUGGGAUUUAAAUGGAUUAGACCAAUACGACAAUUCAAUAAGAUGCAAUUUUACAGAAUUGAAUUCAAAUUUUUAUCUACUACUGGACACAGCACGCCAACCUUCACAUCCUCAGCAAAUGGCUUGUUUAAAAAGUCAACUACUAUACCUCUUAUUAGAUUCAUUGAUUUUGACUAUAUAUUGUUAUAUUAUUUGCCUGUACUGAUUCUAUUAAUUUCUUUGUAUUAGUUCAAAAACAUAUGUAGGCAUAACUGAUACAAAACCAAGGCUGGGGAUGGGGGUGAGCAAGGGUGAAUUUCUGAAAUUAAACUAUAAACGUAUCGUGAGCUAGAGUCAUACCACUAGACCAAAUUCCACCAGUUAUCGCUUCUUUCCUUUUCUUUAUAUAAACUGUUCUAGCCAGCCUUUGAUGGUUUUGCUUCAAGAACCUUAUUCUCAAAACCAUUUGACCUAUUCCCCAUAGGCAAUCAAAGACACUUUGGUAACGUAGGCUACAGCGAAUGCUCUAGUUUUGGUUGAUAAAGAGUGAUACCUGCAUAUGAGUUGAGAAGUCCCCUCUUUAAAAAUUGAAGUUUGAGUUGUUAUAUUUGUUUUGAUUUUUGGAAAAAUAAUAAGCUAUGCACGGUAAUACACUUUGGUGUAAUGCUCAAUGGGUUUUAAUUUUCUGCAGGAUCUACAACUUCAUAGUUCUAAUGCAGUCUGUGCAAAAUUUACUUGAUUACAAUAGGAGACUUAAUUCUACCUAUACAACUUUUAUUACCAUUAUUUUUUGUUGUUAGUGGUGUUUCUGGUAAUGUUUUUCUUGCAAUAUAUCCAAACUUUAACAUUAAUGACAUGGCAUCUGUCGCUAUGUGUUGCCCACCUGAGAUUGAGCCACAGUGUCUCGUAGAUAUGUUUUACUACUCUGGCUAAUGAUUAGAGUCGAUUUAUGAUAUUUUUUAGUAAUUUAUUAUUAUUUUUUUGUCUCCCCUAAAUAUAAUUGAAAGAAACAAAAAUUAAUUUGUAGGUUUCAUGACCACCUCAAUUUGACUGGGAAUUAAACUGAGGACCUCGCAUAGCCAAAGGGAUAAUCAAGGCUUAUUUUUGUGAUUUGACAUUAUUGAAAGUAUUAACUUACUGAGGAUUAAGUUCACUUUGAGAUCCGAAAGUGAUAUGAUGUAACCGAACCAGAUAAGUGGAGUCAUUUUUCUUAUUGAAGAUGCAGGUACUCCCUGGCUGGCAUACGUUGUUUUGAAUCUUUUGAUCUGCUACUUGUAAAUUUCCUAUUAUUCAACUGAGCACAGCAAAUUUCGCAGGUCAGUGCCAGUACCAUUUACUAAUCAUGCUUCAGUUUCAGGAUUAGUUAUUUGGUGCAAAAAUUAAUUUCCACAGUGAGCAGUCAGUAUCUCUGUUAUUUUGGUGGUUAUAUAUUAUUAAAAUAUACAUUUUAAAUAUUCUGCUUCCACAAAAAUUAAUAUUUCUACAGUGAGCAGUCAGUAUCUCUGUUAUUUUGGUGGUUAUUUAUUACUAAAAUAUACAUUUUAAAUAUUCUGCUUCUGACCACACCUUGAAGUAAUAAUCUCUCAUUUUCUAUAAUCUGAAUCCAUGUAUUGUAGAAUCUUUCCAGAAGGACAUUGUAUUUGUGUCCAGAAAAUGCCCUUGUGCAGAGGUUCUCGUUCUCAUAUCUGAUGGCUUUACAACCAGAAACAGCAUUAGAUAGAGCUUUGAAAAUGAAUUAGGCAGCUAAAUAACUAUCUUCUGAUUCAGUUACAUUAUUGAGUCAGGUCACUGAAUCAACAAUAUUUAGUCCUUUCAGUGUGCAGUACAGUUUCCUCAUAAUGUUACAUAAUUGAGGUAAUUGAACAACUAUGUCUUAAUAGUUAACAAGGUUGCAUUAUUAAAUCUAGCUUUAGCAUUUGGAAUACCUGUGCUGGAUACUCUGUUUAUAAGUCUUGUUUCUUUUAUUUACAAUCAGACCUGUCCAGGUUGACAAGGGAAUAAAAAGGUGCUCUACGGCUGACAGAUAAUUUGUAAAAUGGGGCAUACGAGAAUUGAAAUCAGGACCUCCUGCAGCCGAAGUGAGAAUCAUACCACUAGACCAAAUGCGUUGUUGUAGUAGAAAAUUGUGUUCCUUGGACCUUGUUAUUUGCUUCUUGCUUUUUCUAAACUGUUCUAGAUCAGAAGAAGCUUUGAUGCCAGAAGCUAUAAUUAACAGACAGUUCUCUAGUUUUGGACAAUAAAAAAUGCAAAUGUGCAUAGAGUUUGUGACUUGUGAAGUUUCUUUUUAAAAUUGCAAUUUGAGUCGUGAAAAAUUUUUUCACCAUGCAGGGUAAUAGACUUUGGGAUAAUACUUGAUGUGGUGUAAUAAUAUGCAGGAUGUUUUGUAUGGGUGCUACUGCUUCCCUUGUCAUGUAUUCAUACUAGUUAAUAUUUAUGUUAUCGCCUCAGCCGCAAUCUGUUAACCUAGUCCUUGUUUGAUCCAUCUCAGUGUCUUGGAGAACUCUUUGUUCAUAGGGCUGCUGCUGCUAAUGCUUUUCUUUUGAUGUAUGCAUACUUGUGUUAGAAUUUUAUGGUAGGGGCCUUGGCCACAAUCUAUUGACCUUGUCCCUUUUUGAUCCAUAUCAGUAUCUUACAGAAGACCUCUGUUACCACUUUUGCAUAAUGACUGAGUUGACUUCACAUAUGACAUUAGGAGGCUUCCACCCGGAAUACAGAAUUGAGGAAUGCAAUUGUCAUUGUAGGUAUUUCAACAGAAAUUCAGUGACUAGUGGAAUUGUAAAUGAUAUGAUAUUGGAUAAUAGUAAUAAUACUGUAGAGGAAAUUAACAAUGUAAUAUGGAAAAGAGAGAUGACACCAGGCAUUCAAAAAGCCUGAGAUCACUCCCAGUUUUCUUUCAGAGAGUAUGGAUGAAUGAAAUAAUAUAAUUCCCUUCUCCCUUUAUCUAUGGUGAGAUUGCGCCACACUUAUUCAAGAAAUUUCCCCCCAACUUUCUCCCUCAAUCAACUCACAAAUUGUUAAAACAAUUUCAACAUAAUUACAAAUUCAACUCGAUUAAAUCUCUGGCAACAUGGACUCCUCUUUCCUUGCGUGAAUCAGUGACAUGAGCUUCCAGUUCUUCCCCUUUAGCUUGAUUUGCCCUUUUUUCUUCCUAGCAUAGGUGAAUUGAACCAGUGGCUUAUCAGAUAUCUUAUACUUGUUUUGCUGAAAAAUGGUUGAAAUAAAUUAAUAAAAGAAUAUAUAUUUAGGAUAAAUGACCACCUUAAUUUGAAUGGGGCAUUCUGAGAAUCGAACUCUGGACCUCUUGCACCAAAGCGAGAAUCAUACCGCUAAUGCCCAGUUGUAGUCAAUUAUUUUGUCCUUGAAGCCUGUAAUUUCUUGCUGUUUCUGUUUGUCGAUAGAUAAGGUAGGGGUAUUGCCAACACUACCACCACCACUCUGGGAUCUAGGUGGAGGCCUAACAGUCUCCUUGGCUUUGACGGUGUUUCAGAUUAAAAACAAAAUCUGUUCUAGUCAGCCUUUCGACUAAGCUCUUUGAUCUAUUCAUCAUAGGCAAUCAAAGGGAACUUUGAUCUCAGAAUCUACUAUUAAAAGAUAGUUCUCUAGUUUUGGGUGAUAAAAAGUUCCUACGUGCAUAUGUUGUUGCGAAGCACCUGUUUUAAAUUGCAGUCUGAGUUGUGAAAAUAUAAUGAUCUGUGGAAGGUAAUAGAAAUUAGAAUAAAUGCUCAAUGUGGGGUAAUUUUGUGAAGGAUUAUUUCCAGUGUUGCAGCUGCGCUAAUGCUUUCUUGAAAUAUAUUCAUACUUUUUAAUAUAUAUGAAUGAUAUGACCUCGGCCGCAAUCUGUUGACCUUGCCUAAGUUUGAUCAAUCUCAAUUUUUUGGAGAAGAUCUUUUUUACCACUCUGGCUUAAUGACUUAGUUGACUUUGUAUAUCAUCCUUGCUUUCUUGAAAUGUAUUCAUACUUUUUAAUAUAUAUGACAUGACCUUGGCCGCAAUCUGUUCACCUUGCCCAAGUUUGAUCAAUCUCAAUUUUUUGGAGAAGAUCUAUUUUACCACUCUGGCAUAAUGACUGACUUUGUAUGUCAUCCUUGUUUCACUGAAAUUUAGUUGAAAGAAAGGGGGAAAAAAAAAAAAAAAAAAGAAGAAGAAUGCGUAAACACCUUAAUUUGAUUGAGGCAUUCCGAGAAUCGAACUCGGGACCUCUCGCACCCAAAGCGAGAAUCAUACCACUAGACCAAAUGCCCUUCUAUUAAUUGUUUUGAACCUUGGAGCUUGACAGCUUGUCAUUUCUUGCUUGUCUGUAUAUUAGCUGUUCUAGACUGCUUUUUGAGUAUUAUUUUUCUAGGAGCACAUUUCACAAAAGAAUUUUAUCUAUUGAUCGUAGGAAAUGAAAGGGAGCCUUGAUCUCAGAAGCUAUAUUUAAUAGACAGUUUUUUAGUUUUUUGUGAUAGAAAGUUGCUACAUGCAUAUGUGUUGUGAAUACCAUUUUUAAAUUGCAAUCAGAGUCAUGGAAAAAUAACGAGCUAUGCAAUGUGUAAUUUUAUGAAGGAUUGUUUCUAGUGCUGCUGCUGCUUUUUCUUCACGCGUAUUCGUACUUAUUUAUAUUUAGCCUGAGUUUGAUCCAUCUCAGUGUCUUGGAGAAGAUUUGUUUUACCAUUCUAGCAUAAUGACUGAGUUGAUUUCAUUUAUGAUAUUUCCCACAAAAUUUAGUUGGAAAAAAAAAAAAAAAAGGUAGGAUUGAUGACCACCUAAAUUUGACUGGGCAUUCAGAAAAUCGAACUCAGGAUUUGCCCCUAAAGCAAGAAUCGCUUUUUGGACACUCAGCUAAUUCUUUACUCCACAUAAGUAUAGAAUGCUCUGGGUUAGCAAGUAUGGAAAUGAAGAAAAAAUUUAUGUUGCCAGUGUCACUAUCACUAUUAUAUAUCUAGAAUUUAUAUUUCCAAAUUUUGGUACGAAUCCAUACUGUAUGCAUCCUGUUUCAGUAGAAUGAACUGCUGACAGAAUUUGCUUUGGUUUUUCACAUGCAGCUGGGCAAGGAUUGACAAGAAGCUGAAGGUUCAAUUUUGUAUUUAACAAGUCACCUUCUUGCCACACAGAAGUGCACAUGUACAUGCUCAAGGUUUUUUUUUUGCAUGAUUUGACAUUCUCAUAAUCAUCUAAUUGUUGUGGUGAGAUCAUACUAUUUUUCUUAUUGAUGACGCAGGUAAUCGCUGUCUGAUAUGUUUUGUUUCAGUAGCUGCGUCGUGCAGGACGAGUUGCCUAGGUGAGCUUAGUGUCAACUAUUAUAUGCGCUUGAAUUUCUGUAUCUUUCUAAGUUGACUAUUGUUUGUAAAUUGUUUAUAAUAGGUCAAACCACAUUUUAUCCACAUAUUUCGUGGAACCUACAAGUACGACCCACUUAUUUGCCACUCAUUUCUAUUUAUUUAUAAUUUAAACCAUUUAAAAACAACUCCCAAGCACGUUUUAAAAUAUUUCCAUUUUUCUACUGUGGACCAUCAAUGGACCUGUUAUUUGGUAGAAUCUUUUCAACAGUUUUGUGCUGAGGUUCCUCAUAAACUUUGUAUUGAUGACUCCAGAGCUGAUAAUAUCAACAAUAUUUAAACCUUUCAGUAGGGCAAUAAAUAUUUUAUGCUUAGAAGACAGGCAAGUGAAUUGUCAAUAGAUAGACCGUUCAGUGGGGAGUAACUGUUUCCUCAUAAUGUUACAUUAUUGAGGCAAUUGAAUUGACAGUAUAUUAUCUUUCCAGUGUGGAAACAACGGUCUUAAAAAUUUUACAUUAUUAAAUCUAGCUUUCGCAUAUGCAAUAUCAGUUUCAGAUGUAAAUUUUUUUUUUCUCUGUCUUGAUUCUUUUAUUUACAAGCAGAUCUGUCCUGCUUGACUAGGAAGUAAAAAGGUGCUUUGUGGCUGACUAAACUAUUGCAUAAAAUGGGGCAUUCUGAGAAUUGAACUUCGGACCUCUUGCACCCGAAACGAGAACCAUACCACUAGAUCAAAUGCCCUGUUGAAUUUUAUUACUCUGUCCCUUGGAUCAUGAACCUGUUUUACAAGUCUGACCUGACGAAGGAUGAACCAAAUCGAACAAACCUUAGAGUUGUAUGAGAAUUGUAGAAGAAUGGAAAAAGCGAAGAGGAGAAAGAAGGGGGAGAGAGGGAAAAAAUAGAUAGCCAGGAGAGAGAGUGCUGUAAUUUUAUUCAAUAAUCAAAAGGCCUCUAACAAUAAAAAACCACCUUCAUUCUUAUACCAGAAAUCCCGAUGAAAAUAUGGAACAUUACCUAAUAAUUAAGGAAAGGGAAUAAAGUAAAUCACUCUAAAUAAUUAUAAAAUAAUUCUUAUUCUACUCAAUGGCAAGUCUUUCACAAUUAUCUUUAUUGAUCUCCAUCAUGGCCUCUCAUUACAUUACCUGGGAUUGUUAAUUGGUAUAACUGGUAAGUGCUUGACAGGAUAUGUGAUGUUUAACAAUGUAACAAAAAUUUGCUUUUUUUCAUUUUCCCUAUACUGACUCCAAAAUGCACUUCAUUUCUCAAUUGUUCUUCUUGGAGAUUGUCAAUUAUGAUAAUUGUUUUUCCUUGUAGUUGAUUUAUUGAGACUUUAAGAAAAAAAUUGUACAGGAUUCAUGAUCACCUUAAUUUGAAUGGGGCAUUCCGAGAAUCGAACUCGGGACCUCUCGCACCCAAAACGAGAAUCAUACCACUAGACCAAAUGCCCUGCUGUAGUCAAUUCUUUUGCCCCUUGAAGCUUGUAAUUUGCUUCUUGCUUGUCAAGUAUAUAAACUGUUCUGGUCUGCCUUUUGACUAUUAUGCUUCCAGACAAGAGUAUGUCACAAAACCCUUUGAUCUAUUCCCCAUGGGCAAUCAAAGGCAGUAUUGAUCUCAGAGGCUACAAUUAACAGUCAACGAGGCAGUUCUCUGGUUUUGGACUAUAAAAAGUGCCUACGUGCAUUCAAAAUGUGAAGUUACUUUUCUGAAAUUGCAAUUUGAGUUAUAUUAUUCAUGAAAAAUUCUUUAAAAAAAAAUUAUUCAUGAAAAAUUAUAAACUGUGAAUGGUAAAAGACUUUUGUGUAAUUCUCAAUGUGGUGUAAAUUUGUGCAGGAUUGUUUGUAGUGAUGCUGGUGCUGCUAAUACUUUUCUUGAAAUGUAAACAUACUUUUUAAUAUUUAUCGUAUGGCUUCGGCAGCAAUCAACAGACCUAGCUCAAGUUUGAUCCAUCCCAGUGUCUUGGCGAAGAUCUGUUAACCAGUUUUGUAUAAUGAAAGAGUUGACUUCAUUUAUGAUAUUUCAUCCUUGUUUCCAUUAAAUUUAAUUAAAAGAAAUAAUAAAAAGAAGUGUAGGAUUCAUAAUCACCUUAAUUUGACUGGGGCAUUCCAAGAGUCGAACUUGGGACCUCUCGCACCCUAAGCGAGAAUCAUACCACUAGACCAAAUGCCCAAUUACUGAUGAUUUUAGCACUCAAAUAAAUCUUUACUCCACAUAAUAAAUAGUAAACACUGGGUGAAGGAAAAUUUUAUGUCUCCAGUGUUGCCAAUCAUUGCGAUAUAUCUAGACUAUAUUCUUCCAAAUUUUGGAAUGUAUACAUACUGUAUACCUCCUGUACAGGUAGAAUGUACUGCUGACAAAAUUUUAUUUCCUCUUGGCCCCUACUCCAAUGUCGUUUAGAUCUCUGGAAAAAAAUAUGCACGUGCUGGUUAAAAAUGUUUUCAUAUGAAGCUGGGCAAGGAGCAACAAGAAGCUGAAGUUUCAGUAUUGGAUUUCAUGCAUUCACCUUCAUGCCAUGCAGAUGUACACAUGUACAUGCUCUCAAGGCUUAUUUGCAUACUAUUUUUCUCAUUGCUGAUGCUGGUAAUUCCUGGCUGACAUGUGUUGUCAAUAGCAGCUGCUUUUAAAUACCUUAUUAUGCGACGCACAGUGAAUUGUGCAGGUGAGCUUAGCGUCAAUUGAUUAAGUUUGCUUCAAUUUUUGUAUCUUGCUAAGUUAUUUGAUGCCAAAACUUAAUAUUUCUAUUUACCGUCGUGGACUUUCAAUACCUCUGUUAUUUGGUUUUUAUAUGCGGUUUAGAGUAAUACACUAAUUCUUGAUGCUUCUUGAUGUAAUAAUAUUCCGUUUUCUAUAUUUUUAGUCUAUAUUUAGUACAAUCUUGUCAGCAUCCUUUGUUUUGAGGUUCCUCUUAAACUUUGGAUCUAUUGACUCUAGAAGUGAUAGAAUCAGCAUUAUUUAAUUAAACCUUUCAGUAGGGCAAUAAUUUUUUUGUGCAUAGGUUGCAUUAUUGAGGGAAGAUAUUGAAUCAAUAAUAUCGAGACCUUUCAGUGGGCAGUCACUUUUUCCUCAUCAUGUAACAUUAUUGAGGCAAUUGAGUCGACAAUAUAUAAUCAUUCCAGUAUCCCAUCAAUUGUCAUAAUAAGGUUUACAUUAUUAAAUCUAGUUUUAGCACUUUGUGAUGUUAAUGUUAGUUAAUUUUUGUUUUCAGUCUUUGAUUCUUUUAUUUCAUAGCAGAUCUGUACAGGUUUGACUAGGAAAUAAAAAAAUUCUUUCUGGUUGACUAAAAUAAUUCAUAAAAUGGGGCAUUCCGAGAAUCGAACUCGGGACCUCUCGCACCCAAAGCGAGAAUCAUACCACUAGACCAAAUGCCCUAUUACUUAUGAUUUUUAGCACUCAUCUAAAUAUUUACUCCACAUAAGUAGUCGUAUACACUGGGUUAAUAAGUCUUGAAGUGAAGGAAAUUUCUUUUUUUUUGGUCUCCAGUGUCACUAUCAUUGUUAUAUGUCUUGAAUUUAUUUAUUUAUUUAUUUUUUUCAAAUUUGUGUAUGCAAUACAUCCUGUUCCUGUAUUAUGAACUGCUGACAGAAUUUUAUUUCCUCUUGUUCCAUACUCCAAUGUCAUUCACAUCUCUGGAAGUAAAGAAAAUAUUCACGUGCUGGUUAAAACUGUUUUCACGUGAAGCUAGGCAAGGAGCGUCAAGAAGCUGAAGCCUCACAGUAGGAUUUCAUACAUUUGCCUUCUUGCCACACAGAUGCAUACACGCACAUGCUCGAAUUUUACAUACUCUUAGUUAUCUAAUUGAUUUGGAUAUAUCAUACUAUUUUUUUUUUUUUUAAUUGAAAAUGCAGGUAAUUCCUGGCUGACAUUGUUUCAACGGCCGUUGCUUUUAAAUAUCCAAUUAUGAAAAGGAGCACGGUGAAUUGUGCAGGUGAGCUUAGUGUCAUUGAUUAAAUUCACUUGAAUUUAUGUAUCUUGCUAAAUUAUUUGAUGCCAAAACUUGAUAUUUCUAUUUCCCAUAGUGGACUUUCAAUACCCCUAUUAUUUGGUUUUUAUAUUUACUAAAAUAUGCAGUUUUUAAUAGCAAACUGAUUCUUGAUUUUUCCUUGACAGAGUAAUAUCCCUUUUUCUAUAUUCUUAGUCACAUUUAGUAGAAUCUUGUCGGCAACCUUUGUGCUGAGGUUCCUUUUAAACUUUGAAUCUGAUGACACUGGAAGUGAUAGGGCAAUAAAUUUUUCAUGCAUAGGUUGAAUUAUUUAGACCAGCAACUGAAUCAAUAAUAUUAAGACCUUUCAGAGGGCAGUAACUGUUUCCUCAAAAUAUUACAUUAUUGAGGCAAUUGAGUCAACAAUACAUAAUCCUUCCAGUAACCCAUCAACUAUAUAUUAAUAAGUUUUACAUUAUCUAGCUUUAGCACCUGUGAUAUUAAUAUUAGUUUAUUUUUGUUUUAAGUGUGUGAUUCUUUAAUUUGAUAGCAGAUCUGUCCAGGUUUGACUAGGAAAUAAAAAAGUGCUUUGUGGUUGACAAAAAUAAUUCAUAAAAUGGGGCAUUCCGAGAAUCGAACUCGGGACCUCUCGCACCCAAAGCGAGAAUCAUACCACUAGACCAAAUGCCCUGUUAUUACUAUGUUCCUUGCAACACGAACUUGUUUGACAAGUCUGACCUCCACUGUGGUAUUUAUUACAGUUCUAUUUACUGAACUCAUUUUUUCCAGCGUGAUACUGAAGUUUGGGUUUAGUUUGAUGUCAGAUGUGCAAGACAUUAAUUGUUAAUGCCAUGAAACAACACAAAAAGCAAACUUCACCACUUUAAAAUAAAAUAAAGUUAAAUGACUAAUAUAAAACUUCACUAAUAAUGUUUUGAACCCAUUUUUAUUCUACAUCAACUUGAAAUGGGGGUCAAAUUUUAAAUUUUUAACAUUCAUUUUGUUCUGAAAUCAGGGUUUGUAAGAUUUGUUAUGUUAUUCUAGUUUGACUAUUUAUGGUUGAUCUGAAUGAUUUCAUAUUUUUUAUUAGUUAAACCACUAAUUUAAUGAUCAUUUGAAACGAGAAUGUUUUUAAACAUUGAAGCACUUGGAAUAUACAAACCGCAGCUGUUAGAAACAUCUGUUCAUCAAUUUCUCUUGGCAAGCGGACCUGUUUUGAGGGGCUUUCCAAGAACUGAACUCUGGGACCUCUCCCCUUGGAAACGGACUGUUUUAUUUAUUAAUAUUCAGUAAAAUACUUCUAUGAAUAGAGAAAUUGUGUCAUAUUCGAGUUUUCAUUUCUUACAGAUUUCUAAUAGAUUUUGGGAUUAUUAGCAUGAUAAAAGACUCGUAUGUUUUAACCUUUCAAACUAAAUAAUAGUAUGAAUUGGGUGUAAGGUGCUGGCUUUGGGUUGGAAUUGCUUAAAGUUCGCCCAAAUAAUUGCUGAAUGGCCAUAAUUAUCAUCUCCCUCACCCGUAAUUGAUUGCAGCUCACAAUUUGCUCCUUUUCAGUCUGCUUUUUACCCCUACCAUAGGCCCUUAAUGAAAUAUAAUCAAUGAGAAAAAGUUUGGUGAGUGAACGGAAGAAGAGUUGUACAAAAAUUCUUUUUGUUCUCUCUCUCACUCUUGUUACUUGCUAGGGAUCUUUUCAUGUAAAACAAAUGGCCUUUGCUGGAACGACACAGAAAUGCACUGCUUGUAGCAAGACUGUAUAUUUAGUAGAUCGGCUGGCAGCCCCGCCAACUGGGUAUCCACCAUUGCAAUAAUACCCUGAAGGUAUUUGUAAUUUAUCAAAGGAAGCAUUAUUAUAUAUUUUUCAAUAUAUCCUUUGAGGGCAGGUUUAAUGUUUCAUUUUAUUUUCUCCUUUUCAGCUCAGCAAUUUCAACUCCUUUGAGGGGGUCGUGUAUUGCAGUCCUCACUUUGAUCAGAUCUUCGAGAGAACUGGCAGCCUGGAGAAGAGUUUCGAAGGUAGAAGAACCAUAUAUGAAAUCUAAUUUACCUUAUUUCUAUAAUUAUAUCUUCCAAACUAUAUCUCAGUGUUCUGCACUCGUCUAAAAUUUCUUCCAGGGACACCAAAAAUCUUGAAACCCGGAAAGCUAGUUGACAAUGAGGUAAUCUGCUUCUUGCUAAAGCAGAAAUUUAGAUUAUUCAAAUUUUGGAUCUUACACAUUGGGG
This 28185-nucleotide long non-coding RNA is filed under the name Olea europaea subsp. europaea. Lineage: Eukaryota; Viridiplantae; Streptophyta; Magnoliopsida; Lamiales; Oleaceae. The record is from RNAcentral.